This 270-nucleotide ribosomal RNA is filed under the name Triticum aestivum (bread wheat). RNAcentral describes it as "partial small subunit ribosomal RNA". Lineage: Eukaryota; Viridiplantae; Streptophyta; Magnoliopsida; Poales; Poaceae. The record is from RNAcentral.
AUGUGCGGCAGAGUGAUCCUCGCGGACCUUAAGACGCCCAUGGUGCCUGGGAGGGUGAUCCAGACAACAUUGUGGCCCAAGAAGAGGAACCCCGAUUGUGGUGGCACUUCACGGGGCUCGACGGAUUUGGGGUCGGGCUCGGGGUGGAGGAUGAUUAUGUGGAUGUCGAGGAGUUCCAAGGUCGACAUUAGGGACUCUGACUUGGAUCUCAGGCGUGGCAGGGUGGCUAAGGAGGAUAUUGGCGCCAGGUCGUCGAGAUCAAUCCAUUGA